UCCGAUAUGGCCCAGUAGUUAGGAUUCCUCGCUUUCACCGUGCAGCCUGGGUACGAUUCCCCGUAUCGGAG
Molecule: transfer RNA, 71 nt
Filed under: Smittium mucronatum
Lineage: Eukaryota; Fungi; Kickxellomycota; Harpellomycetes; Harpellales; Legeriomycetaceae
Rfam family: tRNA
About the family: Transfer RNA (tRNA) molecules are approximately 80 nucleotides in length. Their secondary structure includes four short double-helical elements and three loops (D, anti-codon, and T loops). Further hydrogen bonds mediate the characteristic L-shaped molecular structure. tRNAs have two regions of fundamental functional importance: the anti-codon, which is responsible for specific mRNA codon recognition, and the 3' end, to which the tRNAs corresponding amino acid is attached (by aminoacyl-tRNA synthetases). tRNAs cope with the degeneracy of the genetic code in two manners: having more than one tRNA (with a specific anti-codon) for a particular amino acid; and 'wobble' base-pairing, i.e. permitting non-standard base-pairing at the 3rd anti-codon position.
Source: Rfam by way of RNAcentral